This 72-nucleotide transfer RNA is filed under the name Bos taurus (domestic cattle). It matches the Rfam family "tRNA". Rfam says of the family: Transfer RNA (tRNA) molecules are approximately 80 nucleotides in length. Their secondary structure includes four short double-helical elements and three loops (D, anti-codon, and T loops). RNAcentral also lists the same sequence under 1 other name. The record is from Rfam by way of RNAcentral. Lineage: Eukaryota; Metazoa; Chordata; Mammalia; Artiodactyla; Bovidae.
UCCCUGGUGGCUCAGAUGGUAAAGCAUCUGCCUUCAAUGUGGGAAAGCCGGGUUCAAUUCCUGGGUUGGGAA